UUGGUGCAGAUUGCUUUGAUGGUCGACUUGGCUGCUGUGAUCUAAUAUUGCAAAAUCCAAAUCUUCACUUUUAAAUCUUCACAUAUCCUUUUUCAAUCCAAACAAUAAAAUUUCAAAUACAAGUAUUUCAAUUCCACAUAUUUCAAAUACAUCAGAUUUGAAAUUCAAAUCCAAAUCCAAAUCCCGUUUCCAAAUAGGCCCUUAGUGUUUGGGCGUUUGGCUAUCUUCUCUUGUGUAUAUAUGAAUUUGUGUCUACUUUUUCUAGAAUGUUGGGUUGUUUCGAGGGGUUUGAUUAGUUAUUAGUAAUUGAUUCUUUGUUUAUAGAGGUUUAGCUAAUUUUUUGUGUUGUUUUUGUUGUUGUUGUGUGAGGUGUAGAGAUAUAAAUGGCAGGUUCUAAAAAUGCCUCAAAGAAGAAGCAAAAGCGCGAUAUCGACUUCAAGAAAAUAAAGCGAAAGAUUGGCAGAAAAUUGCCACC
RNAcentral lists this long non-coding RNA (475 nucleotides) under Rosa chinensis. RNAcentral's name for it is "sRNA RchiOBHm_Chr1g0331101". Lineage: Eukaryota; Viridiplantae; Streptophyta; Magnoliopsida; Rosales; Rosaceae. The record is from RNAcentral.